RNAcentral lists this ribosomal RNA (497 nucleotides) under uncultured bacterium. RNAcentral describes it as "partial 16S ribosomal RNA". It matches the Rfam family "Bacterial small subunit ribosomal RNA", at positions 30 to 523 of the family's 1533-position model. The record is from RNAcentral.
AUUGAACGCUGGCGGCAUGCCUUACACAUGCAAGUCGAACGGUAACAGGUCUUCGGAUGCUGACGAGUGGCGAACGGGUGAGUAAUACAUCGGAACGUGCCUAGUAGUGGGGGAUAACUACUCGAAAGAGUGGCUAAUACCGCAUGAGAUCUACGGAUGAAAGCAGGGGAUCGCAAGACCUUGUGCUACUAGAGCGGCCGAUGGCAGAUUAGGUAGUUGGUGGAUAAAAGCUUGCCAAGCCGACGAUCUGUAGCUGGUCUGAGAGGACGAUCAGCCACACUGGGACUGAGACACGGCCCAGACUCCUACGGGAGGCAGCAGUGGGGAAUUUUGGACAAUGGGCGCAAGCCUGAUCCAGCAAUGCCGCGUGCAGGAUGAAGGCCUUCGGGUUGUAAACUGCUUUUGUACGGAACGAAAAGCCCUGGGUUAAUACCCUGGGGUCUUGACGGUACCGUAAGAAUAAGCACCGGCUAACUACGUGCCAGCAGCCGCUGUAA